AGAAGUUUAGGUUAUCACUUAAACCUGAAGCCUUCAAAGCUUCCCAAAAAGGAGUACCCUUUAACUUCUG
RNAcentral lists this transfer RNA (70 nucleotides) under Anilios australis (Southern blind snake). Its description in RNAcentral is "transfer RNA-Trp". The record is from RNAcentral. Lineage: Eukaryota; Metazoa; Chordata; Lepidosauria; Squamata; Typhlopidae.